Molecule: ribosomal RNA, 164 nt
Filed under: Lathyrus filiformis
Lineage: Eukaryota; Viridiplantae; Streptophyta; Magnoliopsida; Fabales; Fabaceae
Description: 5.8S ribosomal RNA
Rfam family: 5.8S ribosomal RNA
About the family: 5.8S ribosomal RNA (5.8S rRNA) is a component of the large subunit of the eukaryotic ribosome.
Source: RNAcentral
AGAAUGACUCUCGGCAACGGAUAUCUAGGCUCUUGCAUCGAUGAAGAACGUAGCGAAAUGCGAUACUUGGUGUGAAUUGCAGAAUCCCGUGAACCAUCGAGUCUUUGAACGCAAGUUGCGCCCGAUGCCAUUAGGUUGAGGGCACGUCUGCCUGAGCGUCACAU